This 567-nucleotide ribosomal RNA is filed under the name uncultured bacterium. RNAcentral's name for it is "partial 16S ribosomal RNA". It matches the Rfam family "Bacterial small subunit ribosomal RNA", at positions 355 to 912 of the family's 1533-position model. The record is from RNAcentral.
UGGGGAAUAUUGCACAAUGGGCGCAAGCCUGAUGCAGCCAUGCCGCGUGUGUGAAGAAGGCCUUCGGGUUGUAAAGCACUUUCAGCGAGGAGGAAGGUGGUGAGCUUAAUACGCUCAUCAAUUGACGUUACUCGCAGAAGAAGCACCGGCUAACUCCGUGCCAGCAGCCGCGGUAAUACGGAGGGUGCAAGCGUUAAUCGGAAUUACUGGGCGUAAAGCGCACGCAGGCGGUUUGUUAAGUCAGAUGUGAAAUCCCCGGGCUCAACCUGGGAACUGCAUUUGAAACUGGCAAGCUAGAGUCUCGUAGAGGGGGGUAGAAUUCCAGGUGUAGCGGUGAAAUGCGUAGAGAUCUGGAGGAAUACCGGUGGCGAAGGCGGCCCCCUGGACGAAGACUGACGCUCAGGUGCGAAAGCGUGGGGAGCAAACAAGAUUAGAUACCCUGGUAGUCCACGCUGUAAAACGAUGUCGAUUUUGGAGGUUGUGCCCUUGAGGCGUGGCUUCCGGAGCUAACGCGUUAAAUCGACCGCCUGGGGAGUACGGCCGCAAGGUUAAAACUCAAAGGAAUUG